UUAUUUUUAAGUCAUUGGCGCAACUAUAGACCUAAAUAACAAAUGUUUGUUAUAGAAUUUCACACAUUAUUACUUAUUUGUAUGUUGUACAUUAACAACUUAUAUAUUAUUACACUCAUAAAGUAAAUAAUUUCCUUAUUAUUUCAAUAUAAAUAUAUAAUACAUAAAUACUUUACAACUCAUAAUAAGUUAUAAAUUACAUAUAUUUUAUAUUUAUCAAUAAGAUCAUUACAUGUUAUUUUAAAAUUAUUUUCCUUUUUUUCUUUGUUAAUCGUCUUAGUUGCACUGUGGUCUCUAUGUUACACUGUCCUAUAAAUGUUAGUAUUCUAUCUUAUGUGUUUUAUGUUUUGUUAAUAGGUACAUGUUUAACAUAAUUAACAGUGUAACAACAAUUCAUAACAAAAUUAAUCUGAAAGAAAAAUACUACAAGGAUUAUCAGAGAAUCUGUACAGUAACUGAACAGAAACAAUGAUCUGUUGAUGUUUUUGAAGAGGACUGUUCUCCAAAAUCAUGACUAUGUCCACAACAAAUUGGACCUUAGUACCUAUGUUGUAAAUACUGUGAAUAUUGUAAUUCAUUUAAAUUUAAUUUUCUACUUGUCCACUUACAAAAAACUAUUCAACUGGGGAAUUAAUUGUACUUAUUAUUGUAGGCGGUCUGUUAUUGUUCAAUGUUAUAAAUUAUAAUAUUCCUUUUAUUAUUAAAUUAUGUAAUUUAUUAAGUUUAUUGUUAUUGAAUUAUUUUAUUUAUAAAAUUUACUGUUAUUUAAUUAUAUUAUUAUUAAGUGAGUAACUACCAGUAAAAAAUUAUACUUUAUUUUUUCAAAAAUGAUGAUUUUAAAAUAAAUUAUAGAGUUAAUAAACUAA
Molecule: long non-coding RNA, 866 nt
Organism: Rhopalosiphum padi (bird cherry-oat aphid)
Lineage: Eukaryota; Metazoa; Arthropoda; Insecta; Hemiptera; Aphididae
Exons: 2
Source: RefSeq, a predicted model, not a curated record